GUCGUAACAAGGUCUCCGUUGGUGAACCAGCGGAGGGAUCAUUAGAGAGUUCUCAUAAAACUCCCAAACCCAUGUGAACAUACCUUCUGUUGCCUCGGCAGGUCGCGCCGGCGCCUCACCGCGUAGCCACCCUACCCUGUAGGGCCUACCCGGGAACGCGCCGGCGGGGUCCCCCUGCCGGCGGCCCACGAAACUCUGUUUAGCAUAUUGAAAUUCUGAACGUAUAACUAAAUCAGUUAAAACUUUCAACAACGGAUCUCUUGGUUCUGGCAUCGAUGAAGAACGCAGCGAAAUGCGAUAAGUAAUGUGAAUUGCAGAAUUCAGUGAAUCAUCGAAUCUUUGAACGCACAUUGCGCCCAUUAGUAUUCUAGUGGGCAUGCCUGUUCGAGCGUCAUUUCAACCCUCAAGCCCCCGUUGCUUGGUGUUGGGAGCCUACGGGGUCACCCGUAGCUCCUCAAAGUUAGUGGCGGAGUCGGUUCACACUCUAGACGUAGUAGAUUUUCACCUCGCCUGUAGUGUUGGACCGGUCCCCUGCCGUAAAACACCCCUAUUUUCCAAAGGUUGACCUCGGAUCAGGUAGGAAUACCCGCUGAACUUAAGCAUAUCAAUAA
This 611-nucleotide ribosomal RNA is filed under the name fungal sp. ARIZ L542. RNAcentral describes it as "eukaryotic LSU rRNA". The stretch from base 241 to 394 matches the Rfam family "5.8S ribosomal RNA". The record is from RNAcentral. Lineage: Eukaryota; Fungi.